RNAcentral lists this ribosomal RNA (273 nucleotides) under Cohnella endophytica. Its description in RNAcentral is "Cohnella sp. M2MS4P-1 partial 23S ribosomal RNA". It matches the Rfam family "Bacterial large subunit ribosomal RNA", at positions 1 to 270 of the family's 2925-position model. Lineage: Bacteria; Bacillati; Bacillota; Bacilli; Caryophanales; Paenibacillaceae. The record is from RNAcentral.
UUGGUUAAGCUAAUAAGUGCGCACGGAGGAUGCCUAGGCGCCAGGAGCCGAAGAAGGACGCGACGAACAGCGAUAUGCUUCGGGGAGCUGUAAGUGAGCUUUGAUCCGGAGAUUUCCGAAUGGGGAAACCCAGCUACCGUAAUGGGUAGUUACCCUCGAGUGAAUACAUAGCUCGUUGGAGGCACACCAGGGGAACUGAAACAUCUAAGUACCCUGAGGAAAAGAAAACAAAAGUGAUUCCGUCAGUAGCGGCGAGCGAAAGCGGAGAAGCCC